CCCGGGCGGUCGGGAGCGGGGGGCACUCGGGUCUGUGGGGGGCUCCCGUUGGGGUCGUGUUUUGGGGUCUGCGCGAGCCAGGAAAUGGCUGCAGACACUCCCCUGGCUCUUUUUGGGGGAGAGCGGGAGGUGAGAGGAAGGUGAGGGCUGAGCUGGCCUGAAGCAGAGUAGUGAGGGGAAACAAGGAGCCGAAGUGCCUGUGGGAUUUUUAAAGUCUUCAGUAAAGAUCUUCAGUGAGUUACCUACCAUGGGAGUCAGGAUAUCAGCAGCCUCCAAAGUCUGUAAAGGCUGGCAUGGGACAAGAGCACCGUGGAGGAAGCCGUGUGAGGAGCGCUCACCUCUUGACACCGCUGCUAAUAGGUGGUUAUUACAGCCCAUUGUGCUGAGAGCUGAGGUCUGGCUCUGCCAGCUGCUCCAGUGAUAAAGUGUUUUUUACCUCACCUAAAAGUCGUAAGCAUCACAAACCUUGAAAAUACCCCUCUGACUUUGAAAUUUUAAAUUAAAUAUUGUUAUAAGUUUAGUAAGUUCUAAAGAGGAUAUGAUUACAUAAAACCAGCAUCACCUUGGAAGAGAUUUACUUUGAAAUGUGUGUCUAUAAAGUGCAACUACAGGAUUACGUAAAUUAAGUCUGAAUGCAGCUGAACUGAUAGUUGGCUUUGAAUAUUUUUGUACACUGAGCAAAUUGUUAAUUUACAUUAGUGGGGAAUCUGGUUCAUGAGAAAAAUUCUAAUUUUAUAAGUGAUACCAGAUUGCUUGCAUUUAAUUUGUGUUGGUUUACACCUUUAUACAGAAUAUAUUCCUUUAUUUUCUUGUUUCUGUUUGUCAGUGUCAUUUUUUUCCUUCCUUCCUUCCUUCCUUUUUCCCUUCCUUUCUCCCUUCCUCCCUCCUUAUGCUUUUACUACAAGGAAAAUUCUAGUGCAAAAUAAAAAAUAAGCUCAUCACCAAUUCUAGUAGCAGAGGAGAGGGAGGUGUGGAGAACAGUCAUCCUCCCACCCAUUCAGUGCAAAAUUCCUGUUGACUUCAUGGAAGCCACACAAGUAUUAAAAUUCUCCAAAUUCGUAGCAAAGAUUGAGAUUAUUUUGUGAUGCAAGCAAGGUAAGAGAAACAUCUGUCCUGGUUAUGAGUGAUCAGUUGUGAUGUUUUAUAGAGACUUCAUGGGGAAACCCAAUUCCAGAUUGUGUCUGCCCAUUCCAAACCCAUGAGAUAAGGAACAUGGUAUUAUUAUAACUUCAUUAUUAACUAGAAAAGCAGUUAAAUGUUCAGUAUUUUGCCUUACUGAAUACGUACUUACUCUGAAAUCUAUGUCAUUAAAUAACCUCUCAAGGAGAAUCUGUUCUUUCCAGCCCCGUUUCAGUACAAUGACUUAUUAAUGAUACACAGUACAAAAGAGUGUUGAAAUUAAAGUGUUCUCUUCAAGGCUGAGUGUCUCUGGAAUGAUGGCAGAUGUUCCUUAAAACAUUUUCAUUCAUACUGUGUAUCUUAUAAAUAGACUUACUUUUGCCUGGGCCUGAUCCUACAAGUGUUCCAAGCAUAAAACUGUUAGUUCUGUGCACAAGGUGCUCCCUGGACAAAGCUGUUCAGUCUUCAGGUGACACGUCAUAGAAACUUUUCAGAUCAAACCUCUUACCUUGUUGUCUCAUUUUCCUGUCUACAGAGGAAAACUCAUGUCUGGCUAUGAACCUAACUAGGUCAGGAACAGAUUUUAUGAAACUGUGCAAAAUCAAGUAAUUACAGCCCUGGUUCUACAUCGUAGCUGUAGCAGUUCUACCAUAGCAGAACUCCUCCCCAUAUUUUUGGUAAUUCAACAGUAACAACACCACUAUCCUUAAAUAAGAGGUAGUUUCUUACCAGCAAAGAUGCCAGGAAGCAAUGCAGGUUACAAUCUCAGCAAAUUUUAAGACAAACUCCAAUAAACUAUUUCCUCCUCAUGAAAGUAAUGCUCUCGCAUCUGCUUUGUUUUCUGGAACUUUGAUCAUUCUUCUGUUUUGGAAUACAUAUGAAUUUUAAU
Molecule: long non-coding RNA, 2008 nt
Organism: Myiozetetes cayanensis
Lineage: Eukaryota; Metazoa; Chordata; Aves; Passeriformes; Tyrannidae
Exons: 3
Source: RefSeq, a predicted model, not a curated record